CCUACGGGUGGCUGCAGUGAGGAAUAUUGGUCAAUGGCCGGAACUCUGAACCAGCCAAGCCGCGUGCAGGACGAAGGUGCCAAGCAUUGUAAACUUCUUUUGUCAAGGGACAAAAUCAGGCUCGAGAGCCUGACCGCGGGUACUUGAAGAAAAAGCAUCGGCUAACUCCGUGCCAGCAGCCGCGGUAAUACGGAGGAUGCGGGCGUUAUCCGGAUUUAUUGGGUUUAAAGGGUGCGUAGGCGGCCUGUUAAGUCAGCGGUAAAAGCCCGGGGCUCAACCCGGGCGAGCCGCUGACACUGGGUGGCUUGAGAUGGCGAGAGGUAGGCGGAAUUCGCAGUGUAGCGGUGAAAUGCUUAGAUAUUGCGCAGAACUCCGAUUGCGAAGGCAGCAUACCGGCGGCGAUCUGACGCUGAGGCACGAAAGCGCGGGUAUCGAACAGGAUUAGAUACCCGUGUAGUC
Molecule: ribosomal RNA, 459 nt
Filed under: uncultured bacterium
Lineage: Bacteria
Description: partial 16S ribosomal RNA
Rfam family: Bacterial small subunit ribosomal RNA
Source: RNAcentral